This is a long non-coding RNA of Equus caballus (horse), 2729 nucleotides long. Lineage: Eukaryota; Metazoa; Chordata; Mammalia; Perissodactyla; Equidae. The record is from Ensembl.
UCUAAGAGACCUGUGGGGCACCAUCAAGCAUAUCAACAUUAUCAUAAUGUAAGUCCCAGUAGGAGAGCUUGUGAGAGAAGGGAGAUGAAAGAAUGUUUCAAGAAAUAAAUGCUGAAAACUUCCCAAACUUGAUGAAAAACAUUAAUCUACACAUUCAAGUAGCUCAUUAAACUCCAAGUAGAAUAAACUCAGAGAUCUACACUAAAACACAUUGUAAACUGUCAAAAUCCAAAGUCAAAGGGAGUAUCUUGGGGGCCAGCCUGGUGGCCCAGUGGUUAAGUGCACACGUUCCCCUUUGGCAGCCCAGGGUUCACUGGUUCGGAUCCUGCAUGCGGACAUGGCACCACGUGGCAAGCCAUGCUAUGGUAGGUGUCUCAUAUAUAAAGUAGAGGAAGAUGGGCGUGUAUGUUAGCUCAGGGCCAGUCUUCCCCAGAGAAAAAGAGGAGGAUUGGCAGGUGUUAGCUCAGGGCUAAUCUUCCUCGGGAAAAAAAAAAAAGAGAGAGUAUCUUGAAAACUGCAAGAAAGAAGCAACUCAUCUAGUACAAAGGAUCCUCAAUCAGAUUAACAGCUACUUUCCAAAACCACAGAGUCUAGAGAUAGUGAUAUGACAUAAUCAGAGUUCUGAAAGAGAAAACAACUGUUAACCUACAAUUCUAUAUCCAAUAAAAUUAUCCCUCAAUAAUCUAGAAAUUAUGAUAUCCCAAAUACACAAAAACUGAGAUAGUUACCUGCUAACACACUUGCCCUAUGAGAAAUGCUACGAGUAGUCCUCAGGCUGAAACAGAGAACAUGAGACAGUAACCUAGAUACACAUGAAGAAAUAAAGAAAAGCAGUAAAGAAAACUACACAGGUAAAUAUAAAAUACAGCCUUAAUGUAAUUUUUAUUCAUAACUACAUUUUUUUUUCUUAUCUCAUUUAAAAGACAACUGCAUAAAUCAAUAAUUGCAAAUACGUAUUGGGCAAACAAUGUAUAAAGAUGUAGUUCGUGAAAAUAACAGAAUAAAGGGAAAAUGAAGAUAUAUAGGAGCAAAUUUUUUGUAUAUAAUUGAAAUUAAGUUGGUAUUAAUCUGAUCUAUAUUGUUAUAGAUAAAGAUGUUAACUGUAAUUGCCAGAGUAACGACUAAGAAAAUAACUAAAAAAUAUAUAAUACAGAUGUUGAUAAGGAAAUUAAAGUGGUACACUAGAAGCUGUAUAUUCGAUACAAAAAGGCAGUCACGGAGGACUUGAACGAAAAGUAUACAAGACAUAAAGAAAAAACAUCAUACUGGUAGAAAUAAAUCUUUCCAUAUAAGUAGUUACAUUGAAUGUAAAUGGACCACUCUUUCCAAUUAAAAGGCAGAGAUUGACAAAAUGGAUUAAAAAAAUAUGAUCUAACUAUGUGCUGCCUAUAAGAGACUUGAAAUUCAAAGAUACAAAUAGAUUGAAAGUAAAGGAUGCUAAAAGAUAUUCUAGGCAUACAGUAAGAACAAGGGAGCUGACUAUACUAGUAUCAUAAAAAAUAAACUUUAAGACAAAAAUUAUUACUAGAGACAAAAAGGGACCCUAUAAAUCAUAACAAGGUCAAUCCAUUAAGAAGAUAUAAUAAUUAUUAACAUACAUGCAGUUAAAAACAGGGUUCCAAAACACAUGCUGCUAAAGCUUUCCUAAUUGAAGGCGGAAAUAGUUCAACAUUAAUAGAUAGCACCUUUAAAGUUCAACCGCACUUUAAGUAGUGAAUACAACAAAUAGAGAGAGGAUAAGCACGGAAACGAAGACUGUGACAAUAGUACAAACCAAGUAGAACUAACAGAGAUUUACAGAAAACUCCACCUAUCAACAUUAGAAUUUACAUUUUUCUCAAAUAUACAUGGAAUAUUCUAUAAGACAGACCAUAUGUUAGUUCAUAAAACAAGUAUCAAUAAAUUUGAAAAUAUUGAAAUCACAUAAAUUAUGCUCUUGACUACAAUCAAAUGAAGUUAGAAAUCAACUACAGAAGGAAAUUUAGAACUUAAAUAUGUGGAAAUUAAACAUACUCCUAAAUAACUACUGAAUCAAAGUAGAAUUCAAAAGAAUUCAAAAUACUUUGAGAUGAACAAAAAUGAAAACAAAGCUUAUGAAAAUUUAUGGUAUGCAGAGAAUAGUGCUCAGAGGGAAAUUUAUAGCUAGAAAUAGGCACAUUAAAAAAAUUUUCAGGGGGCCGGCCCUGCAACUGAGAGGUUAAGUUUGUGUUCUCUGCUUCGGUGGCCCAGGAUUUUGCUGGUUCAGAUCCUGGACGUCGACAUGGCUCCCCUCGUCAGACCAUGCUGAGGCAGCAUCCCACGUAGCACAACCAGAGAGACCUACAACUAGAAUAUACAACUAUUUACUGGGGGGCUUUGGGGAGAAAAAGAAGAAGAAGAUUGGCAACAGUUGUUAGCUCAGGUGCCAAUCUUAAAAUAAAAAAAAAGAGAAACUCAAGGAUACUUGGAAAAACAUUUAAAAUAUAAGAGAGAGAGUUAAAAAGUGUUGGUGUGAUCUCAUAAAAACAAAAAAUUCAAAUCAAUAACCUAACCUUCUAUUUUAAGAAACUAGAGAAAAAAGAAUAUUAAACACAAAACAAGAAAAAUAGAAAUAAUAAAUUAACAGUGAAAAUGAAUGAAAGAGAAUAGCAAAACAAGAGAAAAACAAAUGAAAUCAAAAGUUGGUUCUUUUAAAAGAUCAAAAAAGUUCACAAACCUUUGAGUAGACUGACCAAGAGAAAAAAAAAAAA